UACGUAGGGUGCGAGCGUUAAUCGGAAUUACUGGGCGUAAGCGUGCGCAGGCGGUUUGUUAAGUCUGAUGUGAAAGCCCCGGGCUCAACCUGGGAAUGGCAUUGGAAACUGGCAAGCUUGAGUAUGGCAGAGGGGGGGUGGAAUUCCGCGUGUAGCAGUGAAAUGCGUAGAGAUGCGGAGGAACACCGAUGGCGAAGGCAGCCCCCUGGGCCAAUACUGACGCUCAGGCACGAAAGCGUGGGGAGCAAACAGG
This 253-nucleotide ribosomal RNA is filed under the name uncultured bacterium. Its description in RNAcentral is "partial 16S ribosomal RNA". It matches the Rfam family "Bacterial small subunit ribosomal RNA", at positions 524 to 776 of the family's 1533-position model. The record is from RNAcentral.